Non-coding RNA from Stygiomarasmius scandens, 103 nucleotides. The record is from the annotation of a GenBank genome assembly. NCBI's taxonomy places the organism in Eukaryota, Fungi, Basidiomycota, Agaricomycetes, Agaricales, Campanellaceae.
GUCACUUUGCCGGAGUGGUUAACGGGAUCGCCUGCUAUUUCAACGAAUGACAUAGUAUAGCGGUUGGGCUUUGCCCGCGUGUGUUCGAAUCGCACAGGUGACG